Molecule: long non-coding RNA, 539 nt
Filed under: Marmota monax (woodchuck)
Lineage: Eukaryota; Metazoa; Chordata; Mammalia; Rodentia; Sciuridae
Source: RNAcentral
AAUGCCUUGUGCAUGCUAGGCAAGCGCUCUACCACUGAGCCACAACCCCAGCCCUGAUAGAAUAUUUUAUAGUCAUGAAAAAGUACAUUUAUGGUGAGUGUACAAUAAAAUGAAAAAUGCUUUUAUGUGAGAUGUUAAGUGAAAAAUGGGAAUUAGAAAUAAAAAUAUAUAGACCUUCACAAAUAUUUAUUCUAAGUUAAUUUAAGAUUUAAAAUAUAUGCUGGGCAUAGUGGCACAUAGUGGCACAUGUCUAUAAUCAUAGUGACUCAGGAGGCUGGACUUUGAAACUUAGUGAAAUCCUGCCUCAAAAUAAAAAGGGCUGGGGAUGCAGCUCAGUGGUAAAGUGCCCCUAGCUUCAAUCCACAGUACUAAAAAAAGAAAAAAAGAAAAAAAGAAAGAAACACUAACACACAUGAAUGAAUGAAUUAACUAAUGAAAAUAAAAAUGUAUAUGUAUGACUUCUUUAUAUCCAUAAAUGUAAAAUGAGCUCUUACUAUUUGUGCAUAUGUGUUUCUAGCAUAAAACUUCUUGCAGAGCAU